Molecule: ribosomal RNA, 492 nt
Filed under: uncultured bacterium
Lineage: Bacteria
Description: partial 16S ribosomal RNA
Rfam family: Bacterial small subunit ribosomal RNA
Source: RNAcentral
AGUGAACGCUGGCGGUAGGCCUAACACAUGCAAGUCGAACGGCAGCACAGUAAGAGCUUGCUUUUACUGGUGGCGAGUGGCGGACGGGUGAGGAAUACAUCGGAAUCUACUUUUUCGUGGGGGAUAACGUAGGGAAACUUACGCUAAUACCGCAUACGACCUACGGGUGAAAGCAGGGGAUCUUCGGACCUUGCGCGAUUGAAUGAGCCGAUGUCGGAUUAGCUAGUUGGCGGGGUAAAGGCCCACCAAGGCGACGAUCCGUAGCUGGUCUGAGAGGAUGAUCAGCCACACUGGAACUGAGACACGGUCCAGACUCCUACGGGAGGCAGCAGUGGGGAAUAUUGGACAAUGGGCGCAAGCCUGAUCCAGCCAUACCGCGUGGGUGAAGAAGGCCUUCGGGUUGUAAAGCCCUUUUGUUGGGAAAGAAAAGCAGCAGGUUAAUACCCCGCUGUUCUGACGGUACCCAAAGAAUAAGCACCGGCUAACUUCGUG